CCCUCUUUUUUUGGUGAUCUGCGUCUUCUGCUCUCGAUUUUUGUUCUACCUUUCCCUUCUUACUUUUUCUUUUCCUUGUUUUCUCUAAUCUUUCCUCCCAGUUUUGUUUUUCCUCCUUUGUUUCUCUCUCUGUCCGUCGUUUUUUGUUUUUUGUUUUUGUCGUGUGUUUUCUCUAAGUUUGUGUAUUUUGUGUGUGGGAUUUGACUCUUCUCCAUUUUCAUUAUCUUUAUUUUUUUAAAAUUCUUACUUGAAUGAAAAAUACGUGGCA
This 268-nucleotide long non-coding RNA is filed under the name Capsicum annuum. Its description in RNAcentral is "long non-coding RNA (CANN_LNC001108)". The record is from RNAcentral. Lineage: Eukaryota; Viridiplantae; Streptophyta; Magnoliopsida; Solanales; Solanaceae.